This 69-nucleotide transfer RNA is filed under the name Boreoheptagyia zhengi. RNAcentral describes it as "tRNA-Trp". It matches the Rfam family "tRNA". From Rfam's summary of the family: Transfer RNA (tRNA) molecules are approximately 80 nucleotides in length. Their secondary structure includes four short double-helical elements and three loops (D, anti-codon, and T loops). Lineage: Eukaryota; Metazoa; Arthropoda; Insecta; Diptera; Chironomidae. The record is from RNAcentral.
AAGGCUUUAAGUUAAUUAAACUAAUAGCCUUCAAAGCUAUAUAUAUUAGUAAAAAUCUUUUAAGCCUUA